RNAcentral lists this long non-coding RNA (334 nucleotides) under Nicotiana benthamiana. RNAcentral describes it as "long non-coding RNA (NBEN_LNC009583)". The record is from RNAcentral. Lineage: Eukaryota; Viridiplantae; Streptophyta; Magnoliopsida; Solanales; Solanaceae.
UUCUCUCAUUCUCAGACUCCACAUCUUCUAUUUCACCUCCCACCUCCCACCUCCACCCAAAAAGGAAAAAAAUAGUUUCAAAACUUGCUCUUUUUCAACCAAUUUCUUUGUCCUUCUAUUAAUUUUUCCUCUGUUGAAGCCUAUACACUAAACUUGUAAUAAUUUCCAUGUCCAUUUUACCAACUUCUCUUUCUGAAAUUUGCGUUACCCUUUUCAGGUUAUUAACUAUGUCCAUAGCUGAUCCCUGGCCUUUCUCUUAAAAAAAAAACCCAGUAUAAAAUUACUCCUUUCCUUAUAGUAAAUAUUUUUUUCUUUCUUAUAGUAAUUAUUUUUU